CUCCCUUCGAGUCCUGGGGAGCCCUCAGCACUUUGAGGUCCUUCUGAUGCAUCAUUUUGCUCUCUCUGCUGCUGUUACCUCACUCCAGCCCUCAGCUAGAAGAAAUAAUGUGAUUUCCUAAAACGUGGGAAUUAGCAAGUCAAGCCCAGAGAAUUAAAACUGCCCGGAGGCUCAGCUGCCCUGAAAGAAUCCAGUAAAACUCCAUCUCAAGCUAGCAAGAAGCGGAACACGGCAUCUAUUUUUGUUAUGACAUCCUUGAGGUCAGCCCAGCAACAGGGAGGGGAAGAAAUUAAAAGACCCAAACAUUUGCAAGACUGCUCGAUGUUUUAAGGACCUGUAAGGAGGCUGAGGAAUAAGACGUCUGACACAGAGAACUGUGGCUGAAACCUUCCUAAGACUGCUGCCAUUGUGCAAACCAAGUGCACACCAGUAGGAGAGCAGUGCCACAACCGAGCAAUGGCACAAAGCAUCACAGGAGGGGGAGAGAUGGAUGGAAAAAGUAGAGCGAGGUGCAAGUUUCUGCACAGCUGGAGCACAGCUACGGCGCUGGAGAAACAUCUGCAUAGAGCACAGAGCCCUUCAGAUGGCAGGCAAGCAAGUAAGCAAGCCUCUAUUAAAACAGCCCCCUGGGCAACUGCCUGGAGAGCUCAUCCUUGGUCAAGUAUUUGUUUUGAAGAAGGAGUUCUGGCACCCGAGCCGCAGUGUUUGCCUUCAGCCUUUCUGUGUCUCCCUUCCUCCUGUGAGCAGAUUGCUGUGAGAACAUCUUGCUGCUUCCUUCACUUCUGCUGCACCAAAAAGCC
This 800-nucleotide long non-coding RNA is filed under the name Gallus gallus (chicken). Lineage: Eukaryota; Metazoa; Chordata; Aves; Galliformes; Phasianidae. The record is from RNAcentral.